AUUGAACGCUGGCGGCAUGCUUUACACAUGCAAGUCGAACGGCAGCGCGGGCUUCGUCCUGGCGGCGAGUGGCGAACGGGUGAGUAAUGCAUCGGAACGUGCCCAGUAGGGGGGGAUAGCCCGGCGAAAGCCGGAUUAAUACCGCAUACGACCUGAGGGUGAAAGCGGGGGACCGAAAGGCCUCGCGCGCUUGUGGCGGCCGAUGUCGGAUUAGCCAGUUGGUGGGGUGAAGGCUGACCAAGGCGGCGAUCCGUAGCUGGUCUGAGAGGACGAGCAGCCACACUGGGACUGAGACACGGCCAAGACUCCUACGGGAGGCAGCAGUGGGGAAUUUUGGACAAUGGGGGCAACCCUGAUCCAGCCAUGCCGCGUGCGGGAAGAAGGCCUUCGGGUUGUAAACCGCUUUUGUUCGGGAAGAAAUCCUCUGGGCUAAUACCCCGGGGGGAUGACGGUACCGGAAGAAUAAGCACCGGCUAACUACGUG
Molecule: ribosomal RNA, 484 nt
Filed under: uncultured bacterium
Lineage: Bacteria
Description: partial 16S ribosomal RNA
Rfam family: Bacterial small subunit ribosomal RNA
Source: RNAcentral